This 514-nucleotide ribosomal RNA is filed under the name uncultured bacterium. RNAcentral's name for it is "partial 16S ribosomal RNA". It matches the Rfam family "Bacterial small subunit ribosomal RNA", at positions 899 to 1397 of the family's 1533-position model. The record is from RNAcentral.
ACUCAAAUGAAUUGACGGGGACUUGCACAAGCAGUGGAUUAUGUGACUCAAUUCGAUGAUAAACGAAGAACCUUACCAGGGUUAGAAAUCUAAUCGAAGGUAGUUGGAAACAUCUACCGCCGAAAGGCGGUUAGACAGGUGAUGCAUGGCCGUCGUCAGUUCGUGGUUUGAAUUGUUCCCUUAAGUGGGGUAACGAACGCAACCCUCGUUGGCUGUUACAAGUGUCAGCCGAGACCGCCCUGCCUUUUGCGCGAAAAUAAUUGUGCGCAAAAGGCAGGGAGGAAGGCGAGGAUGACGCCAGGUCAGCAUGUCCCUCUGAUAUCCUGGGCUGUACACAUAAUACAAUCGCCGUUACAACGCGACGCAAAACCGCAAGGUAGAGCAAAUCGUUAGAAAGACGGCGCCAGUUCGGAUUGAGGUCUGCAACUCGACCUCAUGAAGCCGGAAUUGCUAGUAAUCGCGGGUCAGCUAUACCGCGGUGAAUACGUUCUCAAGUCUUGUACACACCGCCCGU